AUUUUAGCAUUGUCCUGAAGUUUUUUCUUUUUUUUUCUUUUCUGUGUAGACUUUUAACUGUUCAAAUUAAAUUAUUUUAAAAUUUUCAGUUUGAUUCUCCCCUCCAUUACUUUAGAGACAGACUCUUGCCUUGUUGCCCAGGCUGGAGUGCAGUGGCACAGUCACACGUCACUGUAACUGGAACGUCUGGGCUCAGUCAACCCUCCUGCCUCAGCAUCCCAGAGAGCUAGUACCAUAUGCAGGCAAUGCCACACUCAGCUUUUUAAAAUUUUUUGUAGCGAUGACGUCUCAUCAUCUUGCCCUUGCUGGUCUUGAACUCCUUGGCUCAAGCAAUCCUCCGACCUCAGCCUCCCAAAGCUCUGGGUGGUUUUCCAUCUUUGAGAAGAAUGCCUGUUGUCAUUGUGGAGUGCCGGGUCCCAUAUACGUGGAUUAAGUCAGUCUUGUCAGUUACCUUGUUUCAGUGAUUUCACAACACUUUGCAUUCCAGAUCUAUCAAUUAUGGGAUGAUGUGUGUUAAAAUGUUUCACUGGAUUGCUGGCUUGUCAAUUUUCCCUGUGUUUGCAUCUUUUACUUCCUUAUAUUGAAGCACCUCUGGAAGACAUAUAAUUUUAAAUUGUUCACAUAUUUUUAUAGUGAAUUGAAUAUUUUGUCAUUUAUGCCUAUUAAUGCUUUUUUCCUUGAAGUCUAUUUAUCUCAUGUUAAUAGUAUAAGUCCACUAUAUCUUCUGUCAUCUUUUGUAUGAUUAACUUUUCUGUGGUCUUAUGUUUUGGGUGGUGUUUUUUAAUGGAUUAAAACAAAAAUUCAAUAUAAUAAUUAGCUUUGAACUGGUGAUUUUUUGUUUUCUUUUUUUGAGGUGAGCUCUGACUGUUGCCCAGGCUUGAACACAGUGGCAUGAUUGUGGCUCCCUGCAGCCUACGACUCCCAGGCUCAACCCGUCCUCCCACCUCAGCCUCCCAAGUAGCUGGGACUACAGUGCAAUGCAAGAAGAGUCAUGAAUUAAAGACGGAAUUUAUAACCAAGAGGGAAGCAGAACUUGAAUGUUGGGAAAAUUCGCAGCCCAACCGUACUGUGAAGAAUGUGAAAGUGUGUCCAGGAGAGACGCCGAAGGUACGGCCAAGCAAAUGUUUGAUAAGGAGGUUAGUGUGGACAGAGGGAGACUGGGAGACCGUAUGCUCCUCAUCAAGACAGCGGAGGAAUGAUCGGGAGGGCAUUGCUGAGACUUUCAUGGAUGUCUCAUCCACCACAAGUCCAGAAUGCCAGGGUCUUGGGAGCAGAAUGAUUUCAAGGCUUUGCUCCCUGCAUUUCUUUUUUUUUUUUUUAAUUUUUUAUUGGAUUUUAGGUUUUGGGGUACAUGAGCAGAGCAUGCAAGACAGUUGCAUAGGUACACACAUGGCAGUGUGCUUUGCUUUUCUUCUCCCCUUCACCCACAUUUGGCAUUUCUCCCUGCAUUUCUGCUGUGACAGCUGUGGCUCGUGCGGGCCCGGGACCAGCUCAGAGUGCCUCCUGGAGGGCAUAUGUGGUAAACCUGGGCAGCAUCUGUACGGGAACAUUGCCACACGAGCUUUGGAGGCAUGGUUGCCUCCACCUGGAUUUCAAAAGAUGCCUCAGACAGACUUAGGGCACAGGCAGAGAACAGCCACAGGGGUGGCAGGAGUCACUGGAGAGAGCAAUACCCAGUGA
Molecule: long non-coding RNA, 1680 nt
Filed under: Callithrix jacchus (white-tufted-ear marmoset)
Lineage: Eukaryota; Metazoa; Chordata; Mammalia; Primates; Cebidae
Description: lncRNA (ENSCJAG00000076982.1)
Source: RNAcentral